This 423-nucleotide ribosomal RNA is filed under the name uncultured bacterium. RNAcentral describes it as "partial 16S ribosomal RNA". It matches the Rfam family "Bacterial small subunit ribosomal RNA", at positions 360 to 775 of the family's 1533-position model. The record is from RNAcentral.
AAUAUUGGACAAUGGGGGCAACCCUGAUCUAGCCAUGCCGCGUGUGUGAAGAAGGUCUUCGGAUUGUAAAGAACUUUAAGUUGGGAGGAAGGGCUUUAGGUUAAUACCCUGAAGUUUUGACGUUACUAUCAGAAUAAGCACUGGCUAUCUCUGUGCCAGCAGCUGCGUUAAUCCAGAGGGUGCAAGCGUUAAUCGGAAUUACUGGGCUUAAAGCGAGCGUAGGUGGUUCAGUAAGAUGGGUGUGAAAUCCCCGGGCUUAACCUGGGAACUGCUUUGAUAACUGCUGAGCUAGAGUACGGUAGAGGGUAGUGGAAUUUCCUGUGUAGCGGUGAAAUGCGUAGAUAUAGGAAGGAACACCAGUGGCGAAGGCGACUACCUGGACUGAUACUGACACUGAGGUGCGAAAGCGUGGGGAGCAAGCAG